RNAcentral lists this ribosomal RNA (73 nucleotides) under Nostoc sp. ATCC 53789. RNAcentral's name for it is "partial 23S ribosomal RNA". Lineage: Bacteria; Bacillati; Cyanobacteriota; Cyanophyceae; Nostocales; Nostocaceae. The record is from RNAcentral.
AAUUGAGUGGUCAAGCUAAUAAGGGCUAACGGUGGAUACCUAGGCACACAGAGGCGAUGAAGGACGUGGUUAC